GUAGGUGGCAAGCGUUGUCCGGGAAUUAUUGGGGCGUAAAGCGCGCGCAGGCGGUCCUUUAAGUCUGAUGUGAAAGCCCACGGGCUCAACCGUGGAGGGUCAUUGGAAACUGGGGGACUUGAGUACAGAAGAGGAAAGUGGAAUUCCACGUGUAGCGGUGAAAUGCGUAGAGAUGUGGAGGAACACCAGUGGCGAAGGCGACUUUCUGGUCUGUAACUGACGCUGAGGCGCGAAAGCGUGGGGAGCAAACAGGAUUAGAUACCCUGGUAGUCCACGCCGUAAACGAUGAGUGCUAAGUGUUAGAGGGUUUCCGCCCUUUAGUGCUGCAGCUAACGCAUUAAGCACUCCGCCUGGGGAGUACGGUCGCAAAGACUG
Molecule: ribosomal RNA, 375 nt
Filed under: uncultured organism
Description: partial 16S ribosomal RNA
Rfam family: Bacterial small subunit ribosomal RNA
Source: RNAcentral